GAGGAAUUCCUAGUAAGCACGAGUCAUCAGCUCGUGCUGAUUACGUCCCUGCAAAAUGUACACACCGCCCGUCGCUAUUACCGAUUGAGUGUUAAGGUGAACCUUCUCGAUAGAGCAAUCUAAAAAUUAAGUAAACCUUUACACUUAGAGGAAAUAAAAGUCGUAACAAGGUUUCCGUAGGUGAACCUGCGGAAGGAUC
RNAcentral lists this ribosomal RNA (199 nucleotides) under Rhabdostyla sp. 5 PPS-2010. Its description in RNAcentral is "partial 18S ribosomal RNA". It matches the Rfam family "Eukaryotic small subunit ribosomal RNA", at positions 1605 to 1827 of the family's 1831-position model. Lineage: Eukaryota; Ciliophora; Oligohymenophorea; Sessilida; Epistylidae. The record is from RNAcentral.